GUGCUCACUUUGGCAGCACAUACACUAAAAUUGGAACAAUAAAGAAAAGAUUAACAUGACCCUGUGCAAGAAUGACACACAAAUUCUUGGAAGUUUUCCAUAUUUUU
This is a small nuclear RNA of Sciurus vulgaris (Eurasian red squirrel), 107 nucleotides long. The record is from Ensembl. Lineage: Eukaryota; Metazoa; Chordata; Mammalia; Rodentia; Sciuridae.